This 646-nucleotide small RNA is filed under the name Pongo abelii (Sumatran orangutan). RNAcentral describes it as "processed transcript". Lineage: Eukaryota; Metazoa; Chordata; Mammalia; Primates; Hominidae. The record is from RNAcentral.
GAUUCAAGGGCAUAGCCGUCGGAAUUGUGAUUUCGUGCGUGUUUUAUUUACCAGGCUUUCAAAUCAAAAAGGCCAGGCAAACACACGUUCUGGGGCGUUCAAGGAAGUUCACACGAAGGACAAAUCCAGCAGGGAGAUAGUGACAUACCUUGCGGGCUCAGGCUUGGGAUUUCUGCAGCCACACGCGCGUUCACCCGACGGGGCCUCGCCUGCACAGCCGCCGGGAGGAGCCUGCUCUAGACUCCGGCUCCAGGGGAGAGGACUGGGCUCCACAGAGAGGAGCAGCCUCUUCUUCCAGACCAGCUGGUCUUGCUUCUGGAGCAUCUCUUGGAGCAGAAGACUCUGAGCCCCCGAACUCUGCAAAGCCUCCAGAGGACAUACCACCUCCAGGAUCAGGAUGCAGAGGUUCGCCAUCGGUGGUGUGAACUCAUUGUUAAACACAAGUUCACGAAAGCCUACAAAAGUGUGGAGAGGUUCCUUCAGGAGGAUCAGGCCAUGGGUGUGUACCUCUAUGGGGAGCUGAUGGUGAGUGAGGACGCCAGACAGCAGCAGCUCGCCCGCAGGUGCUUCGAGUGGACCAAGGAGCAGAUGGAUAGGUCCUCAGCCCAGGUGGUGGCCGAAAUGUUAUUUUAACGAGGUGAUUCUC